Molecule: ribosomal RNA, 459 nt
Filed under: uncultured bacterium
Lineage: Bacteria
Description: partial 16S ribosomal RNA
Rfam family: Bacterial small subunit ribosomal RNA
Source: RNAcentral
CCUACGAGGGACAGCAGUGAGGAAUAUUGGUCCAUGGUCGGGAGACUGAACCAGCCAAGCCGCGUGAGGGAUGAAGGUCCAGAGUAUCGUAAACCUCUUUUGUCAGGGAACAAAGGCGGGGACGCGUCCCCGGAUGAGUGUACCUGAUGAAAAAGCAUCGGCUAACUCCGUUCCAGCAGCCGCGGUCAUACGGGGGCUGCGAGCGUUAUCCGGAUUUAUUGGGUUUAAAGGGUGCGCAUGGGGUCUUUUACGUCGGUGGUCAAAGCCUGGGGCGAACCCCCGGCGCGCCGUUGAAUCUGGCAGUCUCGAGUUGGAGAGAGGUAUGCGGAAUGCGCGGUGUAGCGGUGAAAUGCAUAGAUAUCGCGCAGAACUCCGAUUGCGAAGGCAGCAUGCCGGCUCCACACUGACGCUGAGGCACGAAAGCGUGGGUAUCGAACAGGAUUAGAUACACCUGUAGUC